AGAGUUUGAUCCUGGCUCAGAGCGAACGCUGGCGGCWGGCCUAACACAUGCAAGUCGAACGGGCACCUUCGGGUGUCAGUGGCAGACGGGUGAGUAACACGUGGGAACGUGCCCUUUGGUUCGGGACAACUCCGGGAAACUGGAGCUAAUACCGGAUAAGCCCUUCGGGGGAAAGAUUUAUCGCCAAAGGAUCGGCCCGCGUCUGAUUAGCUUGUUGGUGAGGUAACGGCUCACCAAGGCGACGAUCAGUAGCUGGUCUGAGAGGAUGAUCAGCCACACUGGGACUGAGACACGGCCCAGACUCCUACGGGAGGCAGCAGUGGGGAAUAUUGGACAAUGGGCGCMAGCCUGAUCCAGCCAUGCCSCGUGAGUGAUGARGSCCYWRGGKUKKAAASYYCUUUWWCC
This 405-nucleotide ribosomal RNA is filed under the name uncultured soil bacterium. Its description in RNAcentral is "partial 16S ribosomal RNA". It matches the Rfam family "Bacterial small subunit ribosomal RNA", at positions 8 to 440 of the family's 1533-position model. The record is from RNAcentral.